This 454-nucleotide ribosomal RNA is filed under the name Acanthotomicus sp. 4 AIC-2013. RNAcentral describes it as "partial 16S ribosomal RNA". Lineage: Eukaryota; Metazoa; Arthropoda; Insecta; Coleoptera; Curculionidae. The record is from RNAcentral.
CUUUUUGGUAUAUAAUUUAAAGUCAGGCCUGCCCCGNGAUUAAGAUUUAACGGCCGCAGUAUUUUGACUGUGCAAAGGUAGCAUAAUCAUUAGUUUUUUAAUUGAAAGCUAGAAUGAAGGGUUUGAUGAAAAAAUAACUGUCUCAAAUUUAAUUAAUUUGAAUUUUAUUUUUUAGUAAAAAAGCUUAAAUAGUUUAAAAAGACGAGAAGACCCUAUAGAGUUUGAUAUAUUUAUUGGUAAAUAAAAUUAGAAUAGAUUAUUUUUAUAAAUAAAUUUAUUUGGUUGGGGKGAUUAAAAAAUUUAAUUAACUUUUUUUUUAUUUUAAUAUUUAUUUGUAAGUUUUUGAUCCUUUGUUGUAAGAUUAAAAGUUUAAAUUACCUUAGGGAUAACAGCGUUAUUUUUUUUUARAGUUCAAAUUAAAAAAAAAGUUNGCNCCCCCNANGNNGGGAUUAAA